CCUUGUCACACAUUCGUCACAGUGACAUUCAAACACUGGACGGAAUCUGAUAAGGGA
Molecule: microRNA precursor, 57 nt
Filed under: Magallana gigas (Pacific oyster)
Lineage: Eukaryota; Metazoa; Mollusca; Bivalvia; Ostreida; Ostreidae
Description: Mgi-Mir-184-P12_pre stem-loop
Source: RNAcentral